Molecule: small RNA, 116 nt
Filed under: Chryseobacterium geocarposphaerae
Lineage: Bacteria; Pseudomonadati; Bacteroidota; Flavobacteriia; Flavobacteriales; Weeksellaceae
Description: Flavo-1 RNA
Source: RNAcentral
GUCUAGCCCCGAUUGCAGUAAUUGUUUGAGCUCAUUUUAAUUUGUUUCGGCAGCGGCGGCUUUGCCGCCGCUGCCGAAACAAAUUAAAGUAGCGAGUGCGGAAAGCGGGAAAAGCU